UUCUGUUUCCGGAGAGCUAAAUACAUAAAAUUUCUGUUAACCUUUGUUUCAGACACAGUCUGUGAUAGGGUGCUUUUCAAUUUUUAAUUCUGCAAUCUGUUUUAUGUUUUUACUUUAGAAAUUAAAACUGUUACAUGUGUAGUAUUUAAUUUUACAAUGUUCUGUAUGUAUCAGUGUUCUCAUCCACAUAAUCACCCACAGCCCAGAAAUUUAUUUUACUCACAGUUUUGUAGCUGAAGAUUAGCCAAAACUCAGAGAAAUUAAGUAAAUCACCCUUUUCAUGUGUUCUCUCUCGUCCUCUAAUCAUUUUGUAAAACAGCUUACUUCCUUAUUUUUUUUUUUUCCACUAGUCUCUUUAAGGGAGUUUACAUGGUUGUUAGAGCUAAAAUACACCAAUUAAAGUCUAGCUUGGUUUACAAGAGAUAUAUAAUGAAAAUGUUAACAAC
Molecule: long non-coding RNA, 446 nt
Filed under: Bos taurus (domestic cattle)
Lineage: Eukaryota; Metazoa; Chordata; Mammalia; Artiodactyla; Bovidae
Description: long non-coding RNA NONBTAT002745
Source: RNAcentral